Long non-coding RNA from Phyllopteryx taeniolatus (common seadragon), 728 nucleotides. RefSeq lists it as uncharacterized. NCBI's taxonomy places the organism in Eukaryota, Metazoa, Chordata, Actinopteri, Syngnathiformes, Syngnathidae. The transcript is spliced from 2 exons. The record is from RefSeq and is a predicted model, not a curated record.
UGACACAAACUCGAGUGAACACUGCGACAAUGGCACAUUAGUACAAAUCAAUUUCAAAUGAAUAUCUUGUCCAACUAUCUGUAGAGGAACUAAGAUGGAACCGCUCUUGAGUCGGGAAGCAAUUCUCUCACUGAUACAUGUCAAGUGACCCAAAAAAAAAAACUAAACUAAAAAUAACAACAACAACAAAGACGGCAAAUGGAAAAUUGACUCCAGAUCAUACAGUGCAGCAUAAGCGUGAGUCAUGUCUCAAACAAAGCAGCUCCAUUUUCUCGGUGAACAUGAACGCUUAUGGAAUUCUACAAUGAGCGACACACAGCUGUCAGCCGGUCUGGCGACUUGUGAACAACUCCACUCGCCUACAUGCUCUCAUCAGACUGAACGGUACUAAUUUGCAAAUGACAGAGGUUGACUACGAGUGUGAGGAGACGCCGAGGCCACACUGUCAGACGUUCACAGUGCUUUAAGUGAUAGUGGAUGCAAAUUAAAGCUGUGCCCCCCUCUAAUUGCCAAGAGUCAAAGCCUACAUUCAGGGAGUGAGAUGUGUAAAAUGUGUAUUUUUAAACAAACUGUGCAACUUGUAAGUGAGCAAACCCAAGAAAUGAUAUAGAGAAAACUACACAAGAUGGUUUGUUAAAAUUCAUGUCAUUAUUCCCUGUGAGCAAAGAGGAAAAUCAUGUGUGCUGUCACUCAAAAACAUCUUUCAGUAAAGAGGUCAAAAGGUCCAA